UACGUAGGGUGCGAGCGUUAAUCGGAAUUACUGGGCGUAAAGUGUGCGCAGGCGGCCGCGCAAGUCGAGUGUGAAAGCCCCGGGCUUAACUUGGGAAUUGCGCUGGAAACUACGUGGCUGGAGUGUGGCAGAGGAAGGUGGAAUUCCACGUGUAGCGGUGAAAUGCGUAGAGAUGUGGAGGAACACCAAUGGCGAAGGCAGCCUUCUGGGCCAACACUGACGCUCAUGCACGAAAGCGUGGGGAGCAAACAGG
This 253-nucleotide ribosomal RNA is filed under the name uncultured bacterium. RNAcentral describes it as "partial 16S ribosomal RNA". It matches the Rfam family "Bacterial small subunit ribosomal RNA", at positions 524 to 776 of the family's 1533-position model. The record is from RNAcentral.